CGAAUGCUGACAUAAGUAACGAUAAAGCGGGUGAAAAGCCCGCUCGCCGGAAGACCAAGGGUUCCUGUCCAACGUUAAUCGGGGCAGGGUGAGUCGACCCCUAAGGCGAGGCCGAAAGGCGUAGUCGAUGGGAAACAGGUUAAUAUUCCUGUACUUGGUGUUACUGCGAAGGGGGGACGGAGAAGGCUAUGUUGGCCGGGCGACGGUUGUCCCGGUUUAAGCGUGUAGGCUGGUUUUCCAGGCAAAUCCGGAAAAUCAAGGCUGAGGCGUGAUGACGAGGCACUACGGUGCUGAAGCAACAAAUGCCCUGCUUCCAGGAAAAGCCUCUAAGCAUCAGGUAACAUCAAAUCGUACCCCAAACCGACACAGGUGGUCAGGUAGAGAAUACCAAGGCGCUUGAGAGAACUCGGGUGAAGGAACUAGGCAAAAUGGUGCCGUAACUUCGGGAGAAGGCACGCUGAUAUGUAGGUGAAGUCCCUCGCGGAUGGAGCUGAAAUCAGUCGAAGAUACCAGCUGGCUGCAACUGUUUAUUAAAAACACAGCACUGUGCAAACACGAAAGUGGACGUAUACGGUGUGACGCCUGCCCGGUGCCGGAAGGUUAAUUGAUGGGGUCAGCGCAAGCGAAGCUCUUGAUCGAAGCCCCGGUAAACGGCGGCCGUAACUAUAACGGUCCUAAGGUAGCGAAAUUCCUUGUCGGGUAAGUUCCGACCUGCACGAAUGGCGUAAUGAUGGCCAGGCUGUCUCCACCCGAGACUCAGUGAAAUUGAACUCGCUGUGAAGAUGCAGUGUACCCGCGGCAAGACGGAAAGACCCCGUGAACCUUUACUAUAGCUUGACACUGAACAUUGAGCCUUGAUGUGUAGGAUAGGUGGGAGGCUUAGAAGUGUGGACGCCAGUCUGCAUGGAGCCGACCUUGAAAUACCACCCUUUAAUGUUUGAUGUUCUAACGUUGACCCGUAAUCCGGGUUGCGGACAGUGUCUGGUGGGUAGUUUGACUGGGGCGGUCUCCUCCUAAAGAGUAACGGAGGAGCACGAAGGUUGGCUAAUCCUGGUCGGACAUCAGGAGGUUAGUGCAAUGGCAUAAGCCAGCUUGACUGCGAGCGUGACGGCGCGAGCAGGUGCGAAAGCAGGUCAUAGUGAUCCGGUGGUUCUGAAUGGAAGGGCCAUCGCUCAACGGAUAAAAGGUACUCCGGGGAUAACAGGCUGAUACCGCCCAAGAGUUCAUAUCGACGGCGGUGUUUGGCACCUCGAUGUCGGCUCAUCACAUCCUGGGGCUGAAGUAGGUCCCAAGGGUAUGGCUGUUCGCCAUUUAAAGUGGUACGCGAGCUGGGUUUAGAACGUCGUGAGACAGUUCGGUCCCUAUCUGCCGUGGGCGCUGGAGAACUGAGGGGGGCUGCUCCUAGUACGAGAGGACCGGAGUGGACGCAUCACUGGUGUUCGGGUUGUCAUGCCAAUGGCACUGCCCGGUAGCUAAAUGCGGAAGAGAUAA
Molecule: ribosomal RNA, 1491 nt
Filed under: Escherichia coli
Lineage: Bacteria; Pseudomonadati; Pseudomonadota; Gammaproteobacteria; Enterobacterales; Enterobacteriaceae
Description: partial 23S ribosomal RNA
Rfam family: Bacterial large subunit ribosomal RNA
Source: RNAcentral